RNAcentral lists this small nuclear RNA (26 nucleotides) under Eremothecium gossypii FDAG1. RNAcentral's name for it is "FAgSNR72". Lineage: Eukaryota; Fungi; Ascomycota; Saccharomycetes; Saccharomycetales; Saccharomycetaceae. The record is from RNAcentral.
ACCCAAAUUUAUGAAGUUCAUUCGUG